GAGGUCGGCGGCGGCGGGGGGGAUCGGAGCAGGGGGAGCGCGGAGGUGGGGGAUCGGAGCGGAAGAGGAGGGCAGGAGAGGAGGCGGCGAGCCAGCGGCACGGGCACGACGAGUUGGGGGCGACGGGGUAGCCGACGAGGCGGCGGCAAGUACCGUAGGCCCUCCGUGCGCCGGCGCGGGGGAGGGCAGUACGGCAGUUCCCAUACUCCGUCCCCACCGCCGCGCUCCAAACGGGAGGCGGUGGAGUGCCGGAGAGCGUGGCGGUGGAAGAGAGGGCCCGGAGGAGGGGUCGCGAGCUCCGCGUCGUCGCACCUGCGGCGGUGCAAGAACUAGGUCAGCCUAGACCGCGUCCAGCGGCAGUAGGCCGCGGCGUGCCGUACUAAGGUCUAGCCCGCUCCAGCGGCGGUCCUCUCGUCCUCGCCGACGACGUCGCUCACGUCGCCUCCUCGGGUAGGACCAGUUCGGGGUGGGGCCGCCGACGCACAUCUCCUCCUCUCCAGCUCCUACCGGGGUCAAGCACCUCCACUCAAGCAAGAAAGACUGGACCAGAGUAGGUGAUUAAGUACCGAAGGAAAAAAACAAAAAUAUACGACGUCUAUCCCAAUCGUUCCUCCUCCAACAGGGACGCUUCUCCGUCGCACUCCGACGUGGCCGCGGAUGGGUAGAUACGUACAUGUCUCUUACCUACUACAGUUCACCCAUUCCUGCGGCAGUCAUGCACUAUUCUAAUCCACGACCUGAAGACCCAUGGUGCAGGUGGGGUACGGGUUUAGUGUGUCCAACGUCAGUGUUCCUACUAGACCGGCUGGUACAGUCGUUUCGGUUGCGUUGUCUCAACUUCCUUUAUAAUGCUGUACUUGUACCACACUACUGGGCACACGUUGGAGUUGUUCACACUUCCACGACGAUUCAAUCUCCUAACUAAUCUUUGGUUUUUUUUCGUCCGAACCAAUCGAAGUUCUUCUUUUAUAAAGUUUUGGCACAUGGAUAACUUUACCGUACCUUCUGUCUCUACCAUCGUCGGACGUAGGAGUUUAACCUCAACGGAGAACCCCUCAUAGUCCAACGACUUUACUACUGGUCCCACCUACGGGUAUCAAUGUCUUUAUAGAUGGACCCUCCUCCGCGGCUUUAACAUUCACGUACGAAUGUCUCAAGAUAGUACGUGUUAGUACAUACGUGUGGCUAGAUAGGUUUUCUAAUCGAGCGCUGGGAGAGGCGGGCGUGGCGGCCGAGGGGCCCUCCGGCGUAGGCCGGACGGUGUUCAUGUGGAUACAGCGGCGGAGGGGCCCCCGGUGUUAACCUUCACCCUACUGGUUCCUCUUCCGUGCGCCGCCCCCGGUCCGCUAGUUCACCCUCCGCCUCGAGCGGAGGGGGUUACCGCUGCUGAAGUUGGAGUUCACCUUCACCCUCCGGUUCAGGUUCGGACCACGACGGCCGUUCCGGUUUUGGUUCACCCCGUGGGUCCUUCGGUUGUUUCUACUGUUCUUCUUCGGCUGCCACUUCACGCAGGUCUCGUUCCUCUAGGGGCGACCGACGCUGUAGGUCUAGCUCAAACAAGACAUCUGUGUGUUGUUGACGUUGUAGGUACUUGAGGUCACCUUAGGAGUUGGUUCCAAGCGGUCAUGGACUCAGCAAACGGAACAGAGUUUUCUCCAAUAUAUUCGAUGUAUAAACACACACGUAAAAGUGAAGAGGAAAUGGUCGGUGUUGAAACGAAAUAUCACGCGUUGAUAGACUGCUCCCAAUUCAUUGACUCUUUGAUUCGAAACCCUCUAGGUUUUAGCAAAAUCUACCAUGUAGUACUCUUACUUUAAGUACAAAAGGUGGAACUCCAACAAUGUGCGCAUGACUAAAAAGAGAAACAACUCUUUUAUUUAACAAAACAGAAGGAUACGUAUUUUUUUAUCACUUAGACUACGAGGUAGUUCCACCCGACUUUCCUAACUUUAAUGAGUUGAAUAAAAAAACAAUAUAGACUAAUAUCUAUAAAAUAUAUCAUAGUAUAUGACAAUUAUUUGUUAAAACGAAAAACGAACUGUAACUACACCACCACUAAACGAAAUAUCCAAUUUAAUAGAAUGGCGGUAUUACCAAAUGGCUUAUUUCUAAACAAAACAGUACAAAAAUAUGGUACAGAAGUCCUAAAAAGUCAAGAGAACGGUAUGUAUUGUACAGUGUCAGGAAGUCCAAAAACCCGACAAGAAGACGGUAAGGUAGAUAUACACACACACACACACACACACAAGUACACUGUAAAAAACACUGUACGAGUUUCACUACAUUAAUUGGUCUGGUAAUGACAAUAAUCACGAAUCAAGGAGGAUAUAGAAAGAAACUCUUUAAGAUUACUACACCAGAUAUAAAGGAAGUUAGACACCUUAUAUAUAACACAUUGGUCAUCGCCUGACCCACCCACGACGGUAGCACGAAACGAUAAGUACAUUGUCGGUCUUAGCUUACAAUUGGCACAAGAUGGGUUCAACCUAUAUUACAGUAACGUAACAUUUAUUCAAUAAU
This 2520-nucleotide ribosomal RNA is filed under the name Triticum aestivum (bread wheat). RNAcentral's name for it is "partial small subunit ribosomal RNA". The record is from RNAcentral. Lineage: Eukaryota; Viridiplantae; Streptophyta; Magnoliopsida; Poales; Poaceae.